GGGGCUAUAGCUCAGCUGGGAGAGCGCUUGAAUGGCAUUCAAGAGGUCAGGGGUUCGAAUCCCCUUAGCUCCACCA
This 76-nucleotide transfer RNA is filed under the name Lactivibrio alcoholicus. RNAcentral's name for it is "tRNA-Ala". It matches the Rfam family "tRNA". Rfam says of the family: Transfer RNA (tRNA) molecules are approximately 80 nucleotides in length. Lineage: Bacteria; Thermotogati; Synergistota; Synergistia; Synergistales; Aminobacteriaceae. The record is from RNAcentral. RNAcentral also lists the same sequence under 12 other names.